GUUAAAAAGGACAGAAUGCAGAAACUGCUAGCCCAAACCAUUUAAUCUGCCUCCCCCACACUCCCUCUGGGUAGUUUAUUUGACACAUUUUAAAACCUCACAACACAGACUACAUUUGACUGUGUUCAUGUUAAUUUUAAUUAUUACAGAAAGUAUGUUCUCAAUAAAGGCUGAAGUUGACAGUAAACAAACAAACAAACAACAACAACAACAAAAACUCUAAAAAAGAAGCCACUGGAGGACUAGAACAGGAGAGGAAUCCUGUUCCUGUUUACAAUAAAUUUCAUUACCAUGACAACUCCCGCCACUGAGGACUUAUCACCAUGACUACUUGGGCCACAGGUUCUAAUUGUAAAAUGACAAAUAGGAGGACCAAGAACAUUUAACAAUACCAGGAAACAGUUACCUUAAAUUCAGGGUUGAUGUAAAUGGAGAGAAAAAGAAGCUUAAUGUAGAAAACAAACAAGAUGCUCAGGCAUCUAGCGGCUGCUCUUGAGCCUCUAACUAGGCUACUUCAGUUUUGGAUCAUGUUUUCUUCUUUGUGUCAUUGCGGCCCUGUUUUAUCUGUGACAUUGCAUCCAUGAUAUCCUGAGAGAGAAUAAGAAGUUCUUUCAAAAUUAGCAGCUUUCAAACUGUCCUGAGUCAAAAUGCAUCGGUUUUAUAUCUUGAAGCCCUAGAAGCUCUUGGCCUGGAGACCUGAAUCACAGCAGGAAGCAGGGAGGCCCCGAAGAAAGAAAUGGGUUUUCAGAACUCCACCAUGAAUCAGAAACUGUUUUUGUUUUAUAUAUUAGGAUUUUCUUUUUCUUUUUGAUGGGGGAGGAUUGUCUGCUUAAAGAAGCAAAGCAAAAAAAAAUGUUGGCAAACUCAAUCCAAGACAAUAUCUAGGUUAUCUUCCAGUGUUUUAAUUACAUACUUUGGAGCCAUAGAUAAAAUCUGCAAUGUGAAUAAAAAUGAUUUAAAAAAAUGAAUGCCUGUAGAGGAACACAGACAAAUUCUUGUCCAUUUGUGUCUUUAGGUUUUACAUAUGACUCUGGUUAAUGGUGUAUGCUGCAAAUGGGGUAAGGCAACUUAAUAGUUAAAUUGACAUUCUCUUGACUAAUUACUAUAGAUGAUAUUUGUCUCUGUGAAUCUAAUGGUGCCAAACAGGCUGUACUUGAAGUGAGUCAUAUUGAAUUUGGUGCCUUUACACAGUUUUCUCAGUAAUCAUGUCCCUAUCUUGAAGCAAUUUCACUAUCUGAUUUCAUUGGGAACAUUUGGUUUUGGUGAUCACAAUUACCAAUACGUAUAGCUCUUUAAGUCUGACUUUUAAAAUUUUCACAUUUGUUUGGAA
This is a non-coding RNA of Ictidomys tridecemlineatus (thirteen-lined ground squirrel), 1330 nucleotides long. The record is from RefSeq and is a predicted model, not a curated record. NCBI's taxonomy places the organism in Eukaryota, Metazoa, Chordata, Mammalia, Rodentia, Sciuridae.